Molecule: ribosomal RNA, 261 nt
Filed under: uncultured bacterium
Lineage: Bacteria
Description: partial 16S ribosomal RNA
Rfam family: Bacterial small subunit ribosomal RNA
Source: RNAcentral
UGCCUACGGGGGGCAGCAGUAGGGAAUCUUCCACAAUGGGCGAAAGCCUGAUGGAGCAACGCCGCGUGGGUGAAGAAGGCCUUCGGAUCGUAAAACCCUUUUGUUAGAGAAGAAAGAGCGGGAGAGUAACUGUUCACGUUUCGACGGUCUCUAACCAGAAAGCCACGGCUAACUACGUGCCAGCAGCCGCGGUAAUACGUAGGUGGCAAGCGUUAUCCGGAUUUAUUGGGCGUAAAGGGAACGCAGGCGGUCUUUUAAGUC